Molecule: ribosomal RNA, 376 nt
Filed under: uncultured bacterium
Lineage: Bacteria
Description: bacterial SSU rRNA
Rfam family: Bacterial small subunit ribosomal RNA
Source: RNAcentral
UACGUAGGGGGCAAGCGUUGUCCGGAUUUAUUGGGCGUAAAGCGCACGCAGGCGGUCUGCCAAGUUCGGAGUGACAGUUUCCAGCUUAACUGGAAAAGGUCUUCGAAAACUGGUGGACUUGAGGACUUGAGGGGGAGACGGAAUUCCGGGUGGAGCGGUGAAAUGCGUAGAGAUCCGGAGGAACACCGAAGGCGAAGGCAGUCUCCUGGCAAGUUACUGACGCUCAGGUGCGAAAGCUAGGGGAGCGAACAGGAUUAGAUACCCUGGUAGUCCUAGCCGUAAACGAUGACCACUAGGCGUGGGAGGUAUCGACCCCUUCCGUGCCGCAGCUUACGCAAUAAGUGGUCCGCCUGGGGAGUACGGUCGCAAGAUUAAA